UCAGUGUAUGUUCACUGGUGUUAAUAUGUCCUUUGGUUGAGUUAAGCUAUUUCAGUUGAUAUUUUAUAGUGUGUCUUUCUAUGUUGUGAUGUUACACUAUUGUUUCAGAAAAAGGGUGAAGGUUUGGUACCAUUAAAACGUUUAAACAAGCUGCAUUUGUUUGCACCUGUCCUAAGUCAGGAAUCUGAUGUUCAGUAGUUGCCGUUUGUUGAUGUGGUUCAUAAGUGUUUCUCGUUUCUCGUUUUUUAUAUAGAUUAGACCGUUGGUUUUCCCGUUUGAAUGGUUUAACACUAGUAAUUUUUUGGGGCCCUUUUUAGCUUACUGUUUGGUGCGAGCCAAGGCUCCUUGUUGAAGACCGUACUGUGACCUAUAAUGGUUUACUUUUAUAAAUUUUGACUUGGAUGGAGAGUUGUCUCAUUAGCACUCAUACCACAUCUUCUUAUAUCUAUAUAAGGAAAUUUAAUACAAGACACCCUAUACUUUUUUGGUGAAGUUUUACCUUUGAAAGAAUUGAUGAAACUUGGUCCAACAAAAAUGGGCUUGUUUUUACUGGCAAUUCAUGUAUCAUGUUUUCAUGCUGUUACUAUUUUACCACAAGCUCAAAUGUUUGACAAUUCAUAGAAACUUUGAUAAUGCCUAAUCAUCACCCUAAUGAGCAUUGAAUUUUUAGCCACAUAUUUUAUCACCAAUUUUUAAGAGUGUAAUAUGGAAUGAUUUUAUAUUUGAUCUGGAACUUUAUAAUGAUGAGUAGUAUUGUGUAAUUUAUUUUUGGAUCUGCCAGGCAGUCAAUUCCUGUUUGGGUAGACUUUGAAUUUUAUGACACCUUCUGAGCAUGGAUCCAAUUUUUCCUCACAUAUUUCUUAGAUCCUUUAUUAAGGAAUAAUUGGACAUUUCGUUUUAAACUUUUUUAUGAUGAGUUGUACCAUGUAAGCGAUUUUCAGAUCAGCAAGCAGUCACUUCCUUUUUGACGAUACUUUCAAUCUUUUAUUCCCACUUAGCAUGGAUUUUUUUGUCAAUGUCUUAUUAGGAGAUGAGGUAUAUUUUGCACAACAUUGCAUGCACCUCCUUGUAUGUAUAAGUUUGGUGUUAAAUGAAAUUGUGUGUUUUUUAUAUCUUUUAUUACAUCUUUAAUGUUUUAAAAAUAUUAUAUGUUCACUUGCAAAAUGUUUUUAUAAAAAAAACCUUGACAUGAAAUAAAACAGAGUGACCUCAAUAUCUGCAUGAUUUAUUUAACAUGUCUAUCAAUAUGUAGAAUGUUGUUUGACAAAAGAACUUUCUGAAUAGGUCAUAUAGUGGCAUUUAAUAACAUGUUGUCAACAAAACUACCGGUAGACUUUAGUUUCUUUGUUGUUAAUGAUAAAUUAUGUUUAUAUAUAUUUCUCAAUAAAUUGUUAUUAUUUUUUUAUUAUAA
This is a long non-coding RNA of Mytilus californianus (California mussel), 1411 nucleotides long. RefSeq lists it as uncharacterized. Lineage: Eukaryota; Metazoa; Mollusca; Bivalvia; Mytilida; Mytilidae. The transcript has 2 exons. The record is from RefSeq and is a predicted model, not a curated record.